RNAcentral lists this ribosomal RNA (114 nucleotides) under Periophthalmus magnuspinnatus. The record is from RNAcentral. Lineage: Eukaryota; Metazoa; Chordata; Actinopteri; Gobiiformes; Gobiidae.
UACAUAAAACUACUUUGAGAAAACCCAAUUUUGUCUGAUCUUGAAAGCUAAGCAGGGUUGGGCCUGGUUAGUACAGGGAUGGGAGACCACUGCGAAUACCAGGUGUGAAGGUAU